GAUUGAACUGAAGAGUUUGAUCCUGGCUCAGAUUGAACGCUGGCGGCAUGCUUUACACAUGCAAGUCGAACGGUAACGCGGACUUCGGUCUGGCG
RNAcentral lists this ribosomal RNA (95 nucleotides) under Betaproteobacteria bacterium. Its description in RNAcentral is "partial 16S ribosomal RNA". It matches the Rfam family "Bacterial small subunit ribosomal RNA", at positions 1 to 90 of the family's 1533-position model. Lineage: Bacteria; Pseudomonadati; Pseudomonadota; Betaproteobacteria. The record is from RNAcentral.